GAUGAACGCUGGCGGCGUGCCUAAUACAUGCAAGUCGAGCGAACAGACGAGGAGCUUGCCCCUCUGACGUUAGCGGCGGACGGGUGAGUAACACGUGGAUAACCUACCUAUAAGACUGGGAUAACUUCGGGAAACCGGAGCUAAUACCGGAUAAUAUAUUGAACCGCAUGGUUCAAUAGUGAAAGACGGUUUUGCUGUCACUUAUAGAUGGAUCCGCCGCAUUAGCUAGUUGGUAAGGUAACGGCUUACCAAGGCAACGAUGCGUAGCCGACCUGAGAGGGUGAUCGGCCACACUGGAACUGAGACACGGUCCAGACUCCUACGGGAGGCAGCAGUAGGGAAUCUUCCGCAAUGGGCGAAAGCCUGACGGAGCAACGCCGCGUGAGUGAUGAAGGUCUUCGGAUCGUAAAACUCUGUUAUUAGGGAAGAACAAAUGUGUAAGUAACUAUGCACGUCUUGACGGUACCUAAUCAGAAAGCCACGGCUAACUACGUG
RNAcentral lists this ribosomal RNA (495 nucleotides) under uncultured bacterium. Its description in RNAcentral is "partial 16S ribosomal RNA". It matches the Rfam family "Bacterial small subunit ribosomal RNA", at positions 28 to 507 of the family's 1533-position model. The record is from RNAcentral.